This 6585-nucleotide long non-coding RNA is filed under the name Homo sapiens (human). RNAcentral describes it as "non-protein coding lnc-F13A1-2:8". Lineage: Eukaryota; Metazoa; Chordata; Mammalia; Primates; Hominidae. The record is from RNAcentral.
GAGCUUCACUGGAGGUGGGUAAGUUUUGUUUCAGACCUGUAGGGCUGAAAGUGUUGACGAACACCUGGGAGAAAAUGUCCAGUCACCGUCACUGCAAAUGCGGGUCCGACCUUCAGGAGAGGGAUUUGGACUGAAGAUGUGGGUAGGAGCACCCUCUCUUAGACAAGAAAAAUUGAGACUAAGAGGAGAUGAGAUCGCUGGGGGAUCAUAAUUAAGUAAAAACUUGUAUCUCUAAAAUCCGUCCUGACAUUUUCAUUUAUAGGAUAUACAUAUGUAUGUAUCUGUUAUAAUCUGAAAUGUGUCCCUCAAAAUUCAUAUUUGAAGCCCUAACCUCCUCAUACCUCAGACUGGGACUGUAUUUGGAGAUGAGGCCUUUAAAAAGAUAAUUAAGGUAAAACGAAGGCAUUAGAAUGGGCUCUAAUCCAAUAUGUCAGGAGUCCUUAUAGGAAGAGGAGAUGAGGACACAGACACCCACAGAGGGAAGACGGUGUGAGGACACAGGGAGAGGACACCAUCUGCAAGCCCAGGAGGGAGGCCUCAGGAGAAACCAAUCCCGCCCACACCUGGAUGUGGGGCUUCCAGCCCCCAGCACUGCGAGGGAAUAAAGCUCCGUUGUGUAAGCUGCCGCAUCUGUGGUAUUUUAUUAUGGCAGCCCCAGCUACUAAUACAGUACCCCUACCGAUACAUACAUAUUUACCCACAUGUAGCCACACACAUGUGCACAUAUGUAAUCUUUUUGCCUAUAAAAAAGUAAGCAAUGCCUAAAAGUACAGGUGGAGAGAAGGCUAAAAAGCACAGGCUCGAAGAGACUGCCAAGAUACAACGAUCCAACAAAGACACAUCGUAUCAACAGUAAUGAUUUCCUAAAUGUGAAGGUAAUUUGGAUGGCUGGUUUAUAGUUUUCAUGCCCGGGAGUUUUCCAAGGCACAAUGUAUACCCUUUGCGGCAGCUUACUCUCCUGAAAUGUGCCUUCAUGAAAUUAGAUAAACAGGGAGAAGAUAUGAAGUACAUCUGCCUAACACCACGUUAGAAGAAUCCCCGGGCAUUUGCAUCUUAUGCGAUGAUAUGCUGGCAAACCUUGGCCAACUUCCAGUCUUGUCCUUAUGACAGGGGACUGCUGUGUUGAGUUCCCGUCUCAGGCCUCACAUCCACCUUGGCCCUGCCUUGGGAGCCUGUAGGUGUGGGCAGAAAAGAGGGACGCUGCCUUCCUGGCUGGGCCUUUCUUCACACACAGGCACGAGGACCCAAGCUCUAAAGGAUGAAGUCCCCAUGGUCUCCGAAGUUUUCAUUAUCAUCCCCCUCCUAAAGCUCCACCUUGGAGGCAAUGCACUGUAACAAAAGGACCAGCACAGUGCCCAGCACACAGAAAGCUAUCAAUCAAUGUCAGCCUUAACCAUUAUGUUGGUUGACUUGCCAUCCCUCUUCCUCAACUGCAAACUAUGUGAGAGAAAGAUUCAUGUAACCUUGGUAUUACACAACUCCAUCGUGGUGGGUUCAGUUGCAUUUGUCAAAUGAUUCAGAGUAGGACAACGGGAAUUUUCUUUACAACAUCACAGCAUUGUAAAGUCUUUGCUUUGCACGAAAGUGUGGGACUGAAGAAAUGAUUGUGCAGGUUGAAACUGUGAAGCAAUUUUAAGAAGCAACAAGGAAAAUUAUGAUUGUUUCAUAAUCUUCAAAAAAUUUUUAAAGUGUUAAGAACUGUUUUACUACUGGUCGUAAAUGUAUAAGAACAUUUAAAGAUAGCAAAUUGAAUACUUAUUUAGCCUGUCAUAAUUUAAAAAAUGAGAAACAUUGAGAAAUAGUGUUUUAUUUCUUUGUAAAAGACUUAUGGAGAGUAAAUUGAAAAGGGCUUUGCCACCUUCUCAUUGUGAAACUUACAGUAUGGACCAGGCAUCUUUUCUAUGCCUUGGCAAAUUGUCACAUUCCUUUCUAUAUUUGGAUAGGCUUCCUACAUUUUGUCCUGCACACUUUCAGUGCUGUGAAAUAUCUCCAAGAGUUUCUUUAAUAUGAAGUUUUUGCCAGCAUCUUUAUCCUGAGUCCCUCAAAAGACACAUCCAGAAUCUCUCAAAAGACAACAGCAUCAACUUUCCCACCAUCAGCUCUUUCUUCUCUAAACUCGUUUACGUCUGAGUCAACUUUCACCUCCUGCAUUCUCACUUUUUGUUUCUUUGCUAUACUUUCCUCUUCAUUGGCUACCUACCUCUCUUGAGUAUUCAUUUCUGUGAAAUGUCACGUGGGUUUGUCACUGGGAGCCAAGAGAGCAGCACGACCACACGCUUUGCUGUCUGUGUGGGAACUGAUAACACGGAAGGACUGAAGGACGUGAUGCGGUUAAUCACUGAUCAUGAUGCACAUCUGUUAUUACGUGGUGGUCUGUGGACUGCAGAGCAAGCAGCAGAGGUUGUCCCCCAUGCAAUCACUCACAGUUAAUGGUGACUGAAAUUGGAACCAUGUUGUUAGGGGGCUGGUGUUAUUUAACCUCAGUUGCCACAGGGCAAUGAAAAUUCGUGCGUUUGGGAACUAUGCAAGGUGAGGACUGCCUGAAUGUUCCAUAAUGUGAUGAGUGCCUCACAAACAGGGUGUAUAUUAUCACUGAGUUUUUUCAUUAUUCUUGACCUUCAAUAUAUAGACAUUCUUGUUGAUGGUAUCAGGUUGUUUCUGCGUGAAUGAGCUUUACUCCUCUGAGAAAUGGCAUUCCUGACCCUCCUCUUUGAAUCAAUUGCACAAAAGUAUCUGAAGGAAAUUUGCUUACCUGCUGCUUUCUAUGGAAGCUUUCCUGCAGCAUGACCUAGUGUCUGUUUCUGGUUGAUGAUUAACCAUGGGGAACAAGCGUUUGAGAUAAAGAAGUUGCAGAACUUUUUAGAGAAUGUAAUAUGUUAAUGUGCACUGGGACUCUCCCUGAGCUAUAUCAAGUUUCCUGGAUUCUGAAAUGCUAUAAUUUUAAAAGUGUCAUAAGGUUAAAACAGCUUUCUAAGAAGUGCCUUUGUUGGAAGAAUACCCAGGAAUGGUGCGCUGGACAGCUUUUGUACAAGUCUUGCAUUUUCUCAGAACUAUCUCUCAUCUUGGCCAUGGCAUCAGUCACAUCCUGAGUGGCUCACCUUGACUUGGGUUGCCUCCUACUGCAGUUCUCCUAAACUCUGGUGGGGGACACGGGCACAACCCACCCAAUACUCGUAUGUGCUUUACCUGGAAAUAAGGAGCAGAGGAGCUAGGGGAAGGAGCCGAUGGCUAAAUGUUCCUGCCUUUUUUCCCUCAGGCAGACAGUUCUAAGGUGCACGCUGUAGGUUGCUGGGACAACCCUGGCAAGAUCUUCCCCCAGACAUCCACCUUGGCGGCCGACUUAUUAACUCAUUGGUCUAUUGACUUUUGCUCCUUGCCUCGCCCCUGAUCCCUGUGCCCUCUUUCUAAUAAGCUACCUGCUGGUGAGGCUCUGCCUUGGGGGAAACCCAGGCUGAGGCAGGUGGGAUGUUAUAACCAGGGAGGCCUGAGUCCUGGGUCUUUGCCUGGGGUCCCCAAAUAGGAGAGGGAUUGGAGGAGGUAUUGUGGGGGAGAGUGUUGCAAAAGCCCAGAGGAAAGGAGUGCUGUUACCACAACAGAGGAGACAUGAACCUGCACAGACCAAAAACAGGAGAGAGAGAGGGAAAGAGAAAGAGAAGGGGGAGAAAGAAAGGGAGAGACAGAGGAAGGGAGAGAUGGGGAAAGAGGAGAGGAGAAAGGGAGGGAGAGAAAGAAAGGAGAUGGAGAGAGAAAAGGGUGGGGAGAGAGAUAAAGAGAGAGGUAAAGAGAGAGAGAGAAUCAUCUACUACAUGAUUUCUUUUUUUUUUUUUUCUGAGAUGGAGUUUCGCUCUUGUUGCCCAGGCUGGAGUGCAGUGGCGUGAUCUCGGCUCACUGCAACCUCCAUCUCCCGGGUUCAAGCGAUUCUCCUACCUCAGCUUCCUGAGUAGCUGGGAUUACAGGUGCCUGCCACCACGCCCAGCUAAUUUUUGUAUUUUUGGUAGAGACGGGGUUUCACCGUGUUGACCAGGCUGGUCUCGAACUCCUGACCUCAGGUGAUCCGCCCGCCUCGGCCUCCCAAAGUGCUGGGAUUACAGGUGUGAGCCACCGCGCCUGGCCAUGAUUUUUUUUUUAACCUAUAAAAGCCUUGAGUAGUGAUGGACGCGAUUCCUAGUAAUGUGGUUUACUAAAGGGUCAGGCUGUCAGUUCACCACAAAUACGCCACAGUAGUGUUUGGUAUUCUCUCAAUGUUCCACCCACCAGAGCAUACAAAACAGCCACAUUCCCCAAACACUUAAUUCUCAAAACAUACUUGUAGAGGAGGGAAGCCUAUUACUCCCAUUAGAAAGAUGGAAAACCAAGGUGAAAUGAUUAACUGAGCUACCAGGGCCUCAGAAGAAAGUCGCUGCUGAGUUUGGGAUUGUGUUUUCAACUUCCUGCCCACUGUGGGUGAGCUCCACCUUUUACUGGAACCAACUCCAAGGAGGAAGUUUUGCUGGGUUUCCUGGAAGGCAGAGGUUUGCAUCUGCAUGCCCUGCGUGGAGGCAUUGUAUUUGGGGGCAGGCAGGAGAAUACUGUAGCUGGUGUGCCCACAGAAAGGGAGGGAGAGAAGCCACUGGGAGUGAGCUGGGCUUGGGAUCGGGCUGUGUCCUCACCAACUGUCUGCCCAGGCAUGAACUUGCCACUGCUGUGGAAGAGUCUGACUGCAUCCAAGAAUGCCAAAGGUUGUGGCUGAACUCACUUCUCAACAGACUUGGAUCAUGUUCAUAUACUAUUCUUUAAAAGAUCACCAUUUGUAGUAGAAUGUCAAAAACCCAAAGAUGUUGCUCCCGAUGUUGAGCUGUAACUAUUUUCUGUGUUGGUGGAAAAAUAUGAGAGAAUUAGUUGCCAUUCAUGAAUCUCAGUGAUACACAGACAAAAGCAUGCUUCAAUUUUGUUUCUUUGUUUUUGAGUGGUUCUGAUUUAUUUUCAGCUUUUGGGUGAUGUCUGGGGCUGUUUAUUGAGGACGGGAUAAAUGGGGGGGGGACCAAAAUAUAUUUGGCAUUUAUUGGUGGUGUUUUAUAUUUGUGACUUGAUUUACUUCUUAUCACAACCCAGUGAGACACGUACUAUUAUCAUCCUUUUAAUAGAUGAGCAGCCUGGAGCUUAGAGAGGUUAGGUAGCAUGGACAUCAUCAGGCAAGUUAAAUGAGAAAGCCGCCACCCAUUCCCAGCUGGGGCUGACCCCAGCGCCUGUGUUAUUUCUGUUGCCCUGAGCCUCCCCAGGCUUCUUAACCCACAUGUACUCCUAGCUUCCAGCAGUGCUAAUUUACACCGUGUACCAGCUGGAGACAUUCUGGAGUGUAGACUGACGCAAUAAUCCCCAAUGAUAGGUUUGCCAUGUUUUUUUUAAAUGUGUUUUUUCCUACUUUUUAUUAUAGAUGUCAGAAUUUUCUCCUUCCCUGAGUUAUCUUUGGACUUAGAUGUAUAUAAAUGUAUCUGGUUGGAGGUGGGGGGAAAAGUGGAAGUGGAAGACCACAAAAGUAAAAAUUACAUUUGAGUGUAUUUCACCGAUUCUAAGAGGAAUGCUUUCUUCUGCUCCAACCACUCUGAAAUCUCCGGGUCCCAUACUCCCAUCGCAGCUGUGUGACAUGGUUGCCGUGGCCUUUGUGUGAACAUCAAAGCUCAGAGGAUGGGUGUCAGAGGCUUAGAUGAAAAUCCUGAAGACAAUUGUCUGGCACUUUUCAAAGCUAUACGGCCUCACCAAAACCCUCCUGGAAGCUCUUGAUGGCUCGAGGUUCAACAGUGUCUGGGAAGACAUGGAUAUAAAAGAUCCAGAAUCAAAGAGUGAUUCCAAAGAGUUAGAGGCUGACUGUGAAGUCUUAGGCAUACUGUAACCCAGUGAUUUACCUAUCUUUGCUUUUCUGCUCAUGCAGAAGAGUGAUAUAUGAUGAAUAAAUUCUAAGUUCAAUUAGGCCUAAAAGAGCUCUUGUAAUAUGCUUUAAAAAGUCUAAGUGAUAAAACAUUGUGACAGAUAGAGUUCUGUCAGUGUUUAUAUUUUCUUAGUCCUUCAUUAAAUAACAGUGUGUCUUACACCAAGGCAGUUUUGGAUUCCAUAAAAUAUGGUAGUAGUUAUGUUUCAUGUUUCAAUAGUCAUCAAUCUGUUUUUAAUGUAUUCAUGGAAAAAUAUGUGGGCCAUCUUGCUAUUUAACUAUUUUUGAAAUCUCAUGGAAGCCUGCCAAUGUUUUUGCAAUUUAGCUAAGAAGCUGUCUUGCUUUUUGAGAGGGGAAGUUCCAAUAUUGUAAGCCUAGGUUUCUGAAUAUAUUUUUGUUUUUUAAUAAAUGUAGAAAGAAUGUUUUUUGUUAAUCCUGGCAUUUGUCUAGAGCAAAAGCAAAAUAAAUGAAAAGUGAGGAAAAUUAAAAGGCUCACGUUAUAACAUGUGCUGUCUAGAGAAUAAAAACUCAUUUGUGCAAAGUUGGUAUGGCUUUUAUGAAAAUAUUUCAGUCCGAGCACCUUGCCUGUUUGCUGCAGUGCUGACUGACUCAUGAUUAGGGAUCUGUGUUGCCUUUAUUGCUCUCGGUUUGCCCUAUGGCUUGAUUUAUUAAUAUAUUUA